Molecule: unclassified non-coding RNA, 329 nt
Filed under: soil metagenome
Description: partial contains 5.8S ribosomal RNA, internal transcribed spacer 2, and large subunit ribosomal RNA
Rfam family: 5.8S ribosomal RNA (bases 1-120)
Source: RNAcentral
GAUGAAGAACGUAGCGAAAUGCGAUAAGUAGUGUGAAUUGCUGAAUUCAGUGAAUCAUCGAAUCUUUGAACGCACAUUGCGCCCCUUGGUAUCCCGAGGGGCAUGCCUGUUCGAGCGUCAUUUCACCACUCAAGCCUGGCUUGGUGUUGGGCGACGUCCUCUUUGGGGACGCGCCUCGAAACGCUCGGCGGCGUGGCACCGGCUUUAAGCGUAGCAGAAUCUUUCGCUUUGGAAGUCGGGGCCCCGUCUGCCGGAAGACCUGCUCGCAAGGUUGACCUCGGAUCAGGCAGGGAUACCCGCUGAACUUAAGCAUAUCAAUAAGCGGAGGA